RNAcentral lists this ribosomal RNA (1404 nucleotides) under Litchfieldia alkalitelluris. Its description in RNAcentral is "bacterial SSU rRNA". It matches the Rfam family "Bacterial small subunit ribosomal RNA". Lineage: Bacteria; Bacillati; Bacillota; Bacilli; Caryophanales; Bacillaceae. The record is from RNAcentral.
UGCAAGUCGAGCGGAUCUUUGGAGAGCUUGCUUCCCUAUUAAUUAGCGGCGGACGGGUGAGUAACACGUGGGCAACCUGCCUGUAAGACUGGGAUAACUUCGGGAAACCGGAGCUAAUACCGGAUAAUAUAAAGAACCUCAUGGUUCUCUAUUAAAAGAUGGUUUCGGCUAUCACUUACAGAUGGGCCCGCGGCGCAUUAGCUAGUUGGUGAGGUAACGGCUCACCAAGGCAACGAUGCGUAGCCGACCUGAGAGGGUGAUCGGCCACACUGGGACUGAGACACGGCCCAGACUCCUACGGGAGGCAGCAGUAGGGAAUCUUCCGCAAUGGACGAAAGUCUGACGGAGCAACGCCGCGUGAACGAUGAAGGCCUUCGGGUCGUAAAGUUCUGUUGUUAAGGAAGAACAAGUACGAGAGUAACUGCUCGUACCUUGACGGUACUUAACCAGAAAGCCACGGCUAACUACGUGCCAGCAGCCGCGGUAAUACGUAGGUGGCAAGCGUUAUCCGGAAUUAUUGGGCGUAAAGCGCGCGCAGGCGGUCUCUUAAGUCUGAUGUGAAAGCCCCCGGCUCAACCGGGGAGGGUCAUUGGAAACUGGGAGACUUGAGUGCAGAAGAGGAGAGUGGAAUUCCACGUGUAGCGGUGAAAUGCGUAGAGAUGUGGAGGAACACCAGUGGCGAAGGCGACUCUCUGGUCUGUAACUGACGCUGAGGCGCGAAAGCGUGGGGAGCGAACAGGAUUAGAUACCCUGGUAGUCCACGCCGUAAACGAUGAGUGCUAAGUGUUAGAGGGUUUCCGCCCUUUAGUGCUGCAGCCAAACCCAUUAAGCAUUCCGCCUGGGAAGUACGUUCGCAGGACUGAAAUUCAAAGGAAUGGACGGGGGCCGGCACAAGCCGUGGAGGCAUGUGGUUUAUUUGGAAGCAACGCGAGAACCCUUACCAGUUCUUACCAUCCUAAUGACCCCUCUAGAGGAAGAAUUUUUCCUUUUGGGGACAAAGGUGACAGGUGGUGCAUGGUUGUCGUCAGCUCGUGUCGUGAGAUGUUGGGUUAAGUCCCGCAACGAGCGCAACCCUUGAUCUUAGUUGCCAGCAUUCAGUUGGGCACUCUAAGGUGACUGCCGGUGACAAACCGGAGGAAGGUGGGGAUGACGUCAAAUCAUCAUGCCCCUUAUGACCUGGGCUACACACGUGCUACAAUGGAUGGUACAAAGGGCAGCAAAACCGCGAGGUUAAGCGAAUCCCAUAAAACCAUUCUCAGUUCGGAUUGCAGGCUGCAACUCGCCUGCAUGAAGCUGGAAUCGCUAGUAAUCGCGGAUCAGCAUGCCGCGGUGAAUACGUUCCCGGGCCUUGUACACACCGCCCGUCACACCACGAGAGUUUGUAACACCCGAAGUCGGUGGGGU